CCUACGGGCGGCAGCAGUGGGGAAUAUUGGGCAAUGGGCGCAAGCCUGACCCAGCAACGCCGCGUGAAGGAAGAAGGCUUUCGGGUUGUAAACUUCUUUUGUCAGGGACGAAGCAAGUGACGGUACCUGAUGAAUAAGCCACGGCUAACUACGUGCCAGCAGCCGCGGUAAUACGUAGGUGGCAAGCGUUAUCCGGAUUUACUGGGUGUAAAGGGCGUGUAGGCGGGGAAGCAAGUCAGAUGUGAAAACCACGGGCUCAACCUGUGGCCUGCAUUUGAAACUGUUUUUCUUGAGUGCUGGAGAGGCAGUCGGAAUUCCGUGUGUAGCGGUGAAAUGCGUAGAUAUACGGAGGAACACCAGUGGCGAAGGCGGAUUGCUGGACAGUAACUGACGCUGAGGCGCGAAAGCGUGGGGAGCAAACAGGAUUAGAUACCCCGGUAGUC
RNAcentral lists this ribosomal RNA (443 nucleotides) under uncultured bacterium. RNAcentral's name for it is "partial 16S ribosomal RNA". It matches the Rfam family "Bacterial small subunit ribosomal RNA", at positions 338 to 795 of the family's 1533-position model. The record is from RNAcentral.